CUACGGGAGGCAGCAGUGGGGAAUCUUAGACAAUGGGGGAAACCCUGAUCUAGCCAUGCCGCGUGGACGAUGAAGGCCUUAGGGUUGUAAAGUCCUUUCAGCUGGGAAGAUAAUGACGGUACCAGCAGAAGAAGCCCCGGCUAACUCCGUGCCAGCAGCCGCGGUAAUACGGAGGGGGCUAGCGUUGUUCGGAAUUACUGGGCGUAAAGCGCACGUAGGCGGACUGGAAAGUUGGGGGUGAAAUCCCGGGGCUCAACCUCGGAACUGCCUUCAAAACUCCCAGUCUUGAGGUCGAGAGAGGUGAGUGGAAUUCCGAGUGUAGAGGUGAAAUUCGUAGAUAUUCGGAGGAACACCAGUGGCGAAGGCGGCUCACUGGCUCGAUACUGACGCUGAUGUGCGAAAGCUAGGGGAGCAAACGGGAUUAGAUACCCUGGUAGUCC
RNAcentral lists this ribosomal RNA (440 nucleotides) under uncultured bacterium. Its description in RNAcentral is "bacterial SSU rRNA". It matches the Rfam family "Bacterial small subunit ribosomal RNA", at positions 339 to 796 of the family's 1533-position model. The record is from RNAcentral.